This 497-nucleotide ribosomal RNA is filed under the name uncultured bacterium. RNAcentral's name for it is "partial 16S ribosomal RNA". It matches the Rfam family "Bacterial small subunit ribosomal RNA", at positions 28 to 507 of the family's 1533-position model. The record is from RNAcentral.
GACGAACGCUGGCGGCGUGCCUAAUACAUGCAAGUUGAGCGCUGAAGGUUGGUACUUGUACCAACUGGAUGAGCAGCGAACGGGUGAGUAACGCGUGGGGAAUCUGCCUUUGAGCGGGGGACAACAUUUGGAAACGAAUGCUAAUACCGCAUAAAAACUUUAAACACAAGUUUUAAGUUUGAAAGAUGCAAUUGCAUCACUCAAAGAUGAUCUUGCGUUGUAUUAGCUAGUUGGUGAGGUAAAGGCUCACUAAGGCGAUGAUACAUAGCCGACCUGAGAGGGUGAUCGGCCACAUUGGGACUGAGACACGGCCCAAACUACUACGGGAGGGAGCAGUAGGGAAUCUUCGGCAAUGGACGAAAGUCUGACCGAGCAACGCCGCGUGAGGGAAGAAGGGUUUCGGAUCGUAAAACUCUGUUGGUAGAGAAGAACGUUGGUGAGAGUGGAAAGCUCAUCAAGUGACGGUAACUACCCAGAAAGGGACGGCUAACUACGUG